GGAGGAGAAAGACAGAAGGCAGAGGAGACAGGGAUGAGAGAGAGGGAAGGCAGAGGAGACAGGGAGGAGAGAGAGGGAAGGCAGAGGAGACAGGGAGGAGAGAGAGGGAAGGCAGAGGAGACAGGGAGGAGAAAGACAGAAGGCAGAGGAGACAGGGAGGAGAGAGAGGGAAGGCAGAGGAGAGAGGGAGGAGAGAGAGGGAAGGCAGAGAGGAGAAAGACAGAAGGCAGAGGAGACAGGGAGGAGAGAGACAGACGGCAGAGGAGACAGGGAGGAGAAAGACAGAAGGCAGAGGAGACAGGGAGGAGAGAGAGGGAAGGCAGAGGAGAGAGGGAGGAGAGAGACAGACAGCAGAGGAGACAGGGAGGAGAAAGACAAAAGGCAGAGGAGACAGGGAGGAGAGAGACAGAAGGCAGACGGCAGAGGAGACAGGGAGGAGAGAGAGGGAAGGCAGAGGAGAGAGGGAGGAGAAAGACAGAAGGCAGAGGAGAGAGGGAGGAGAGAGACAGAAGGCAGAGGAGACAGGGAGGAGAAAGACAGAAGGCAGAGGAGACAGGGAGGAGAGAGACAGAAGGCAGAGACGGAGGAGAGAGAGGGAAGGC
Long non-coding RNA from Oncorhynchus tshawytscha (Chinook salmon), 602 nucleotides. Lineage: Eukaryota; Metazoa; Chordata; Actinopteri; Salmoniformes; Salmonidae. The record is from Ensembl.